This 468-nucleotide ribosomal RNA is filed under the name uncultured bacterium. Its description in RNAcentral is "partial 16S ribosomal RNA". It matches the Rfam family "Bacterial small subunit ribosomal RNA", at positions 28 to 507 of the family's 1533-position model. The record is from RNAcentral.
GACGAACGCUGGCGGCGUGCUUAACACAUGCAAGUCGAACGGAAAGGCCCUGCUUUUGUGGGGUGCUCGAGUGGCGAACGGGUGAGUAACACGUGAGUAACCUGCCCUUGACUUUGGGAUAACUUCAGGAAACUGGGGCUAAUACCGGAUAGGAGCUCCUGCUGCAUGGUGGGGGUUGGAAAGUUUCGGCGGUUGGGGAUGGACUCGCGGCUUAUCAGCUUGUUGGUGGGGUAGUGGCUUACCAAGGCUUUGACGGGUAGCCGGCCUGAGAAGGUGACCGGCCACAUUGGGAAUGAGAUACGGCCCAGACUCCUCCGGGAGGCAGCAGUGGGGAAUAUUGCAAAAUGGGCGGAAGCCUGAUGCAGCAACGCCGCGUGCGGGAUGACGGCCUUCGGGUUGUAAACCGCUUUCGCCUGUGACGAAGCGUGAGUGACGGUAAUGGGUAAAGAAGCACCGGCUAACUACGUG